UGCCAGGGUCUUGGAGGAUUAUGAAAGCUUGUUAGAUGCUUUGGCCAAAAGAGGGAGAGUGCAGAGUAACUUGCACAGGCUGGAGUCAGAGUAGUGACUUCACAGUCACCCAGAGCAUUGGUACUCAGAGCUCCAGCUCUCAGAGGCCCAGAUUCUUGGGCACAGCAAUACCUGCCUAAACUUGUCCUUGGCUGUCAUGGGUUCCCGGCUUCUCUGCUUCAUGGGAGUAGACAAAUGUAGACUGAACUCACCCCAACUCCAAGAUACCUGAUCAAAGCAAGAGACCAGGAAGCGGCAGUGAAAUGUUCUCUUAGCCCAGGACGCCCGGGUGCAGUGUGCCAGGGCGUCCUGCAGGG
Long non-coding RNA from Nannospalax galili (Upper Galilee mountains blind mole rat), 356 nucleotides. RefSeq lists it as uncharacterized. The record is from RefSeq and is a predicted model, not a curated record. The transcript has 3 exons. NCBI's taxonomy places the organism in Eukaryota, Metazoa, Chordata, Mammalia, Rodentia, Spalacidae.